CCCCUCUCAAGGACACACCUGGAGUUUCCAGAACUCUACCAGUCUUGAAUACAUGAGGGAGAGUCAAGCAGAGGCCUACCCAUUCCAUUCCUAGCUUGGCCAGUGGCUAGCAAGUGGAAGACAAUCUGCUACAAGU
Molecule: small nucleolar RNA, 136 nt
Organism: Ornithorhynchus anatinus (platypus)
Lineage: Eukaryota; Metazoa; Chordata; Mammalia; Monotremata; Ornithorhynchidae
Source: RefSeq, a predicted model, not a curated record